This 253-nucleotide ribosomal RNA is filed under the name uncultured bacterium. Its description in RNAcentral is "partial 16S ribosomal RNA". It matches the Rfam family "Bacterial small subunit ribosomal RNA", at positions 524 to 776 of the family's 1533-position model. The record is from RNAcentral.
UACGUAGGGAGCGAGCGUUGUCCGGAAUUACUGGGCGUAAAGGGUGCGUAGGCGGCGAAGCAAGUCAGAUGUGAAAUCCCCGGGCUUAACUCGGGGGGUGCAUUUGAAACUGCAUUGCUUGAGUGCAGGAGAGGAAAGCGGAAUUCCUAGUGUAGCGGUGAAAUGCGUAGAUAUUAGGAAGAACACCAGUGGCGAAGGCGGCUUUCUGGACUGUAACUGACGCUGAGGCACGAAAGCGUGGGGAGCAAACAGG